AACGAACGCUGGCGGCGUGGAUUAGGCAUGCAAGUCGAGCGAUCCUUCGGGAUAGCGGCAAAAGGGUGAGUAACGCGUGGGUAAUCUACCCUCAAGUUAAGGAUAACCUUGCGAAAGCAAGGCUAAUACUUUAUAUGACCACAAACACAUAAGUGUAUGCGGUAAAAGGUGGGGACCUUCGGGCCUACCACUAGAGGAGGAACCCGUGUCCUAUUAGCUAGUUGGUGAGAUAACAGCUCACCAAGGCGAAGAUGGGUAGCUGGUCUGAGAGGAUGGUCAGCCACACUGGGACUGAGACACUGCCCAGACUCCUACGGGAGGCUGCAGUCGAGAAUCUUUUGCAAUGGGGGAAACCCUGACAAUGCGACGCCGCGUGAGCGAUGAAGGCCUUCGGGUUGUAAAGCUCUGUUUGCCUGGAAGAAAGACGGUGGUCGAAUAGACCACCGGGAUGACGUACAGGCAGAGGAAGUCACGCUAACU
Molecule: ribosomal RNA, 480 nt
Filed under: uncultured bacterium
Lineage: Bacteria
Description: bacterial SSU rRNA
Rfam family: Bacterial small subunit ribosomal RNA
Source: RNAcentral